AGAACGAACGCUGGCGGCAGGCCUCAAACAUGCAAGUCUAGGGGGUGUAGCAAUACAUCACCGGCGGACGGGUGCGUAACACGUGGGAAUAUACCUUUUGGUUCGGAACAACGCAGGGAAACUUGCGCUAAUACCGAAUGUGCCCUUACGGGGAAAGAUUUAUCGCCAAAGGAUUAGCCCGCGUAGGAUUAGCUAGUUGGUGAGGUAAUAGCUCACCAAGGCUCCGAUCCUUAGCUGUUCUGAGAGGAAGAUCAGCCACACUGGGACUGAGACACGGCCCAGACUCCUACGGGAGGCAGCAGUUGGGAAUCUUGGACAAUGGGGGAAACCCUGAUCCAGCCAUGCCGCGUGAGUGAUGAAGGCCUUCGGGUUGUAAAACUCUUUCGACGGGGACGAUAAUGACGGUACCCGUAGAAGAAGCUCCGGCUAACUUCGUGCCAGCAGCCGC
Molecule: ribosomal RNA, 448 nt
Filed under: uncultured bacterium
Lineage: Bacteria
Description: SSU rRNA
Rfam family: Bacterial small subunit ribosomal RNA
Source: RNAcentral